Molecule: ribosomal RNA, 328 nt
Filed under: Escherichia coli
Lineage: Bacteria; Pseudomonadati; Pseudomonadota; Gammaproteobacteria; Enterobacterales; Enterobacteriaceae
Description: bacterial SSU rRNA
Rfam family: Bacterial small subunit ribosomal RNA
Source: RNAcentral
AAAUUGAAGAGUUUGAUCAUGGCUCAGAUUGAACGCUGGCGGCAGGCCUAACACAUGCAAGUCGAACGGUAACAGGAAGCAGCUUGCUGCUUUGCUGACGAGUGGCGGACGGGUGAGUAAUGUCUGGGAAACUGCCUGAUGGAGGGGGAUAACUACUGGAAACGGUAGCUAAUACCGCAUAACGUCGCAAGACCAAAGAGGGGGACCUUCGGGCCUCUUGCCAUCGGAUGUGCCCAGAUGGGAUUAGCUAGUAGGUGGGGUAACGGCUCACCUAGGCGACGAUCCCUAGCUGGUCUGAGAGGAUGACCAGCCACACUGGAACUGAGAC